RNAcentral lists this unclassified non-coding RNA (273 nucleotides) under fungal sp. Its description in RNAcentral is "partial internal transcribed spacer region". The stretch from base 1 to 46 matches the Rfam family "Eukaryotic small subunit ribosomal RNA", at positions 1786 to 1831 of the family's 1831-position model. The record is from RNAcentral. Lineage: Eukaryota; Fungi.
AAGUCGUAACAAGGUUUCCGUAGGUGAACCUGCGGAAGGAUCAUUAAAAAAUCGUUUGAGCCGCAAGGCUCUAUUAUUUUGUGAACCGUUUGUGGAAGUUGGUGAUGAUGGUUGAUGGGGGAAUGAGAGAGGGCGGCACUGUCGUCUCUCGCUCAGAUUCUGUCGACGGUCACCACUGGCCCCACUGAUAUUAUAAACAUAUGUCUUUGACGUUGAGGAAAUUAUAUCUAUAUAAUAUAUAUACAACUUUCAACAGUGGAUCUCUCGGCUCUU